Molecule: ribosomal RNA, 247 nt
Filed under: uncultured bacterium
Lineage: Bacteria
Description: partial 16S ribosomal RNA
Rfam family: Bacterial small subunit ribosomal RNA
Source: RNAcentral
UCAAUCUUAGUGGCGAACGGGUGAGUAACACGUAUCCAACCUGCCGAUAACUCGGGGAUAGCCUUUCGAAAGAAAGAUUAAUACCCGAUGGUAUAAUAAAACCGCAUGGUUUAAUUAUUAAAGAAUUUCGGUUAUCGAUGGGGAUGCGUUCCAUUAGGCAGUUGGUGAGGUAACGGCUCACCAAACCUUCGAUGGAUAGGGGUUCUGAGAGGAAGGUCCCCCACAUUGGAACUGAGACACGGUCCAA